GGCUCCGUGGUCAAGGGGUUAAGACACCGCCCUUUCACGGCGGUAACACGGGUUCAAUUCCCGUCGGAGUCA
This 72-nucleotide transfer RNA is filed under the name Lachnospiraceae bacterium. RNAcentral's name for it is "tRNA-Glu". It matches the Rfam family "tRNA". Rfam says of the family: Transfer RNA (tRNA) molecules are approximately 80 nucleotides in length. Their secondary structure includes four short double-helical elements and three loops (D, anti-codon, and T loops). Further hydrogen bonds mediate the characteristic L-shaped molecular structure. tRNAs have two regions of fundamental functional importance: the anti-codon, which is responsible for specific mRNA codon recognition, and the 3' end, to which the tRNAs corresponding amino acid is attached (by aminoacyl-tRNA synthetases). tRNAs cope with the degeneracy of the genetic code in two manners: having more than one tRNA (with a specific anti-codon) for a particular amino acid; and 'wobble' base-pairing, i.e. permitting non-standard base-pairing at the 3rd anti-codon position. Lineage: Bacteria; Bacillati; Bacillota; Clostridia; Lachnospirales; Lachnospiraceae. The record is from RNAcentral.